RNAcentral lists this transfer RNA (63 nucleotides) under Spirometra erinaceieuropaei. RNAcentral describes it as "tRNA-Ile". Lineage: Eukaryota; Metazoa; Platyhelminthes; Cestoda; Diphyllobothriidea; Diphyllobothriidae. The record is from RNAcentral.
CCAAUAGGGCUGCUAUUGCAGGUUACUUUGAUAUAGUAAAUUUAGGACUUGUGUUUCGUUGGU